Molecule: ribosomal RNA, 253 nt
Filed under: uncultured bacterium
Lineage: Bacteria
Description: partial 16S ribosomal RNA
Rfam family: Bacterial small subunit ribosomal RNA
Source: RNAcentral
UACGUAGGGGGCAAGCGUUGUCCGGAAUUAUUGGGCGUAAAGAGCUCGUAGGUGGUUUGUUGCGUCGGCUGUGAAAUCCCGAGGCUCAACCUCGGGUCUGCAGUCGAUACGAGCAAACUAGAGUGUUGCAGGGGAGACUGGAAUUCCUGGUGUAGCGGUGAAACGCGCAGAUAUCAGGAGGAACACCGGUGGCGAAGGCGGGUCUCUGGGCAACAACUGACGCUGAGGAGCGAAAGCGUGGGGAGCGAACAGG